RNAcentral lists this ribosomal RNA (400 nucleotides) under uncultured bacterium. RNAcentral's name for it is "bacterial SSU rRNA". It matches the Rfam family "Bacterial small subunit ribosomal RNA", at positions 355 to 752 of the family's 1533-position model. The record is from RNAcentral.
UAAGGAAUAUUGGUCAAUGCCCGCAAGGGUGAACCAGCCAUCCCGCGUGCAGGAAGAAGGGGCUCUGCCUUGUAAACUGCUUUUGCAUGGGACGAAAGAAUAAGAUUUAUCUUAAGUUGACGGUACCAUGAGAAUAAGCACCGGCUAACUCCGUGCCAGCAGCCGCGGUAAUACGGAGGGUGCGAGCGUUAUCCGGAAUCACUGGGUUUAAAGGGUGCGUAGGCGGUUGUAUAAGUCAGUGGUGAAAGGCCGUAGCUUAACUAUGGGACUGCCAUUGAUACUGUAUGACUUGAGAGAGGUUGAGGUUGGCGGAAUGUGGCAUGUAGCGGUGAAAUGCAUAGAUAUGCCAUAGAACAUCGAUUGCGAAGGCAGCUGACUGGACCUGAUCUGACGCUGAGGC